RNAcentral lists this unclassified non-coding RNA (394 nucleotides) under Zea mays. Its description in RNAcentral is "misc RNA Zm00001eb049760". The record is from RNAcentral. Lineage: Eukaryota; Viridiplantae; Streptophyta; Magnoliopsida; Poales; Poaceae.
CCGCUCACCCCUUGUGCGCCCUGCUUCUGUGACACAGUGGCCAUCCUCGCCCUCGGCUUCGCUGCGCCGGUUGAGCUACGUCCCGGUUCCAUGGCGUCACCCCCGCCACACAUGAGCUUUGCCUCGCCCGCUGCUCCCGUGGCUCCUGACUACCACGGCCGUGCUUUUGCCCUGGCCGUCGGCGCCACUUCCUCCCUGUCUCCGCCCGUUUCCGUCGGAAUGGCUGCGUGCGUCCUUCUCAACGAUGGCCAGCUUGUCCGGGGCACCUUCGUGCACUUCGAUCCCACCAUGAGCCCUGUCCUUUGUGACUGCGUCGAACUCCACCCCCAGGUCGGCUGUCACGUGUCUGGACCCCUUGUCUUCCCCCGUGCAGUGAUUGCCUCCCUGGCCAUUG